Molecule: ribosomal RNA, 490 nt
Filed under: uncultured bacterium
Lineage: Bacteria
Description: partial 16S ribosomal RNA
Rfam family: Bacterial small subunit ribosomal RNA
Source: RNAcentral
AUUGAACGCUGGCGGCAGGCCUAACACAUGCAAGUCGAACGGUAACAGGAAACAGCUUGCUGUUUCGCUGACGAGUGGCGGACGGGUGAGUAAUGUCUGGGAAACUGCCUGAUGGAGGGGGAUAACUACUGGAAACGGUAGCUAAUACCGCAUAACGUCGCAAGACCAAAGAGGGGGACCUUCGGGCCUCUUGCCAUCGGAUGUGCCCAGAUGGGAUUAGCUAGCAGGUGGGGUAACGGCUCACCUAGGCGACGAUCCCUAGCUGGUCUGAGAGGAUGACCAGCCACACUGGAACUGAGACACGGUCCAGACUCCUACGGGAGGCAGCAGUGGGGAAUAUUGCACAGUGGGCGCAAGCCUGAUGCAGCCAUGCCGCGUGUAUGAAGAAGGCCUUCGGGUUGUAAAGUACUUUCAGCGGGGAGGAAGGGAGUAAAGUUAAUACCUUUGCUCAUUGACGUUACCCGCAGAAGAAGCACCGGCUAACUCCGUG